GGGGGGGGGGCCGCGCGGCCCACGCAGCCCACGCUAGAGGUAGCGGGCGUCUCCCGCGGCGUGGGGCGCGGGCCGGCGGCGGGCAGCGCCUGAGGGGGAAGAGGCGGCUCCGGAGGCGCGGCCUGAGGCGCUGGGCCCAGGGCUCCCGCUCGCUCCGGGGAGGGGACGGGCGACGCCGAGCCCGCACUAGGCCACCGUUUGUUUUUUUUUUUUUUUGGGGGGGGUGGUGUUUUAUUUUUCUCCCCCGUUGUUGUUGUUGGGGGUUUGGGGUUUUUUUUUCCUCCUUCCCCUCAGCGCUGGGCGACGUCCCCCGCGCCGGGCCCGAACCGCCGGGGAAAAUGUCCAGGCCUGUCAGGAACAGGAAGGUCGUCGAUUACUCCCAGUUUCAGGAAUCAGAUGAUGCUGAUGAAGAUUAUGGAAGAGAUUCAGGUCCCCCAUCCAAGAAAAUCCGUUCGUCUCCCCGGGAGGCUAAAAAUAAGAGGCGAUCUGGGAAGAAUUCUCAGGAGGACAGUGAGGAUUCAGAAGAAAAAGAUGUGAAGGCUAAGAAAGACGAUUCACACUCGGCAGAUGAAGAUUUUGGCAGUGAAGAUGAUGACUUAGGAGCAGAUGAUGGCAAAGCUGACAGUGACUAUGAGAGCUCACAAAAAAGCAAAAAAGGAAAAAAGGCUAAACCAGAAAAGAAUAAGAGAGCAGCCUCCAAAUCCAGGAAAAGGCCUGCAGAGGACAGCGAGGACGAGAAAGAAGACCACAAAAAUGUGCGUCAGCAGCGACAGGCAGCAUCCAAAGCAGCUUCUAAACAACGAGAGAUGCUUAUGGAUGAUGUGGGUAGUGAGGAGGAAGAACAAGAGGACGAUGAGGCACAGUUCCAGGAGACAGAUUCAGGAAGCGAUGAAGACUUCCUCAUGGAAGAUGAUGAUGAUAGUGACUAUGGCAGUUCAAAAAAGAAAAAUAAAAAGGUCUCCAAGAAAUCCAAGCCAGAGAGGAAAGAAAAGAAAAUGCCGAAGCCCAGGCUAAAGGCUACAGUGACCCCCAGUCCAGUGAAAGGCAAAGGGAAGGCAGGCCGCCCCACAGCUUCCAAGGCAACAAAAGAAAAGACCCCAUCCCCCAAAGAAGAGGAUGAAGAGCCUGAAAGUCCCCCAGAAAAGAAAAAAUCAGCCAGCCCUCCACCAGAGAAGUCAGGGGAUGAGGGAUCUGAAGAUGAAGCACCCUCUGGUGAAGAUUAAAUGGCAGUUGAGGAAAUCUUUGUUUAAAAAAAAAAAAAGAAAAAAAAAGAAAAAGGAAAAGAAAACAUACUUAGGGGUAGAACACGGUUUUGGCUGUGGCUUGACUCAUGGGCUUUGAAUGCUGUCUUUACUUUCAGCUGUUUAAUACAGUGUAUCCUUUUUUUAAUAAGGAAACCCUUAUACAGUAAUAUUUUGAAGUCAAUGUUCUCUGUUGGCCAUUCCGUUCUCCCUCCCCCACCAAAUCUGAAAGCCAUUUGAGACAAAUUAACAGACCAUUUAAAUAUAUAUUUUUUUCAAGGGAUACUGCAGUUGUGAAGCAAUAAGGUUUGAGACUGAUACGUGGAAACCAUACUUACAAAUCGUUAAGUAGAAUAGAUUUUCCAGUGCUGGAGCAUGAAUAGUUCUUCACGGAGCAGAAAGUUUCAUUCACAGAAGAAGGCUUUGAAAAGAUUGUCUGUUACACAGCUGUAGUUUUGGAGCCUUUGCAGAGAGGUAAAUGGAUUUAUUCCAAAAUUCAGUUAAUCUAGUGCCCUGCCCUGGUCUUACUCUUAAAACGGUAGUUCAUAACUAACUUCCAUUAUAUAUCCUUUCAUACAUUCUGUUUCUGAAUCCACACCAUCACAUUGAGUUUUGCAGUUACAUGCGAAUAGUACUGCCUUUAACUGGCCACAAGGCUUGAUCAGUAAAAAUUUGCAAUUUCAGUUGCAAUUUCAUACUAAAAAUUAUUUGCUUCAGUUUCUGUUUGAUGAGCCUGAGAAUGCCAAACAUGCCAAGCUAAAUGGGUUUCAGAAUGGAUUGUGGGUGAGAGCAAGACUUAGAAAUGGGGCAGCCAAGAAGCUUUUAAUUUUGUUGUUUUAACUUCAUCAAAGCAGAAAAGUGUGUGGGGAGAGAAGCAGCACACCUUGGGUGACUUCUGCUAGGGGAACCUCACCAAUGCCAGGUAACUGUUCUGAGCGUGCUCAGCUCCUGUGCCACCACAUGGCUGCAUCUGCAGGUGAUGGACUACCAGGGCAGUGGCAGAAGAUGCGCUUGAAUUCCUCUUUUUCUUUUUUCUUUUUUUUUUUUUUUUCCCCCUCCCCUCUGCUGGUGAUGGUCACAAAGGUACAAUAGACACUGAGGCACCCAGGUUAAGGAGGGAGGGAAGUAAACUGUAACAUGCUGGAAGCUUUUGAGCUGUAGAAACUGGUGCUUUGCUUUAUGUAAUUUGUUUGUGAAGUGUUUAUUUUUAUAACAGAUCAUAUUGUUGAACACAUGGUUCUUAAAAACUACAAACUGAUCCAUGAGUUUAAUGUUUGAGAAGUGGACGUUCAUCUGUUGGGGGAGGCAGGAUAUGAAAAUGUAAGCAGAUGGAUAUUUAAAGGGACACUGUCACAAAAUAGUUGCUGGCAUAUAGGAUAUGUUAGUUUGGGGGGGGGUCACAUCUGUAUGUGGAAAUUAUAUAUUCUAUAUGUAUAUGAUCAAAUAGAAAAUUUUCCCUGAACUCUGAAUAUUUUCCUACAGUUUUGGGAGGUUUAAAUACAAGUUCUGGUAAUGAAACUAGGAAGCAAAACUAACUAUCCUGUUCUUCCUGUCCAAGAUGACUUUUUUUUUUUUUAAAAGUACUAUGUGGAGUGUGAGAGCUCUGAAAGAUGACAGUGUCCUUUCAAGACCUCCCCAAAUCAAGUGUAUCCUCGUUUUAGACUUCCCACUUCAGUAGAUGACUGGCAUUUGAAUGUCUUUUCAUUGAACUCUUUAUAUUAAAAACAAAACACAAAUAUUUCAAAGUCUAGUCAAGUUCUCACCAUGUGCUGACUCUGUGUAUCAACCACUAUUGGAAACGACUCUCUAGACUGCCUGCCCCCUUCAGCCGCGGUGAAUCGAGUGGGUCCAUCAGUCUGAGCAUGCUCAGUGUGACUGCAAAACACCAUUGUGCAUAUGCUUUGUAUAUUGGGGCAAGGGUUUUUUAUAUAUAUAUUUUGGGAGGGGUAGUGGGUGGGAUGGAGAAAUACUCAAUCAGCUUAAGCCAGAAUAAUGUGUGUAAAAGCCCCUGAAGUAUUUUGUGUGUGAGUGCGCGGGUGUGAGUGCGCGCAUGGGAGUGUCUGACAUCUUAUUCCCUUUGUGUUCUGAAGUGAGUUUUACUUUUUUUUUUCCUGCAGAAGCAAUUGUUACAAAAAAUUGUAUAUAAGAGCUACAUAAUUUUUGUUUAACCAUGAACAUCGUGUCACAGCAAACCCUGAAUAAUCACUUUGAAGGUAGAGGAGGAGACUCCAGGUAGGGCCUUGGGCCUUUGGCUAUCAGCAAGGCAUCAUUAUAUGGUAUGCAAUGAAUAUUUGUCUUGAGUAUUUGCAAUCCCCUGUUGAGCUUUUCUAAAAAUCAGGCUCUUUGCAGUUCCCCUCUCUGCCCCCUUUAAUUUUUUUUUAAUCUCAAGAGCAGACAGAAAAGGGGGCAGCUGCAAACAGUGUCCAGUGCUGCUGGCCGGUGAUCGGUGUGUGUGUGCAGAUGUGGUUGUCAUCACUGGGCCCGAUAGGGUUGGCUACGCUUGCAAUACCUUGACAAUACUGAGAUCUACCGCAUGGUACUAGGAGUUAAGUCUGAAUGUAACAUUAAUGCUUUAUUUAAAAUAAAAACAACACUUUUUUUUUUAAGGGGUUGAAGUGAACAUGACUGUUGACCAUGUUCGUGAAUUUAUAGAUGCAACAUUCAUUGGUAGAAUUGUGUGAUGGUCUUUUGUGCUACUUAAUUUUACAUAUUCCAGUCUCUGUAUGUACCUGCAAAGAAAGAAAAAAAAAAUAACAAAACCCUGCUUUGCUUUUAUUGAAAGGGUUCCCAGGACUGCAUACCUGCUCCUGAGCUCUGUUUUAAGUAUGUGUAUCCUUCGCUUGUAUUUUGUAUUAAAAAAAACCACAAGGAAAAAGAACCCUUUAUUGUUCAGCAUGUUGGAAUUGUGUCCCCUCUUUUAUUUUUCUCCUUUUUGGAAUAUAUUAAGCAACUCAUUCUUCUGUAUCUUUUAUUUUCUUUUGUAAACUUUUUGGUUUUGUUUAAAAAUGGCUUUAUAAAAGGGCUUUUAUAACCCAUAAA
RNA transcript from Harpia harpyja (harpy eagle), 4280 nucleotides. It is a transcript of the gene named nuclear casein kinase and cyclin dependent kinase substrate 1, with no coding region annotated. The transcript has 9 exons. NCBI's taxonomy places the organism in Eukaryota, Metazoa, Chordata, Aves, Accipitriformes, Accipitridae. The record is from RefSeq and is a predicted model, not a curated record.